Molecule: ribosomal RNA, 792 nt
Filed under: uncultured Bacillota bacterium
Lineage: Bacteria; Bacillati; Bacillota
Description: bacterial SSU rRNA
Rfam family: Bacterial small subunit ribosomal RNA
Source: RNAcentral
CAAUCCAUGAGUACAGUGGCGUACGGGUGAGUAACACGUGGGUAAUCUACCUUUUAGUGUGGAAUAACCCUGGGAAACCGGGGCUAAUACCGCAUAAUCUCGAGAGAGGAAAGUCGCAAGACGCUGAAAGAGGAGCCCGCGGCCGAUUAGCUAGUUGGCAGGGUAAAAGCCUACCAAGGCAGAGAUCGGUAGCCGGCCUGAGAGGGCACACGGCCACACUGGCACUGAAACACGGGCCAGACUCCUACGGGAGGCAGCAGUGGGGAAUCUUGCACAAUGGGGGCAACCCUGAUGCAGCGACGCCGCGUGAGCGAUGAAGCCCUUCGGGGUGUAAAGCUCUUUCGUCAGGGACGAUAAUGGACGGUACCUGGAGAAGCAGCUGCGGCUAACUACGUGCCAGCAGCCGCGGUAAUACGUAGGCAGCGAGCGUUGUUCGGAGUUACUGGGCGUAAAGGGUGUGUAGGCGGUUGUUUAAGUUUGGUGUGAAAUCUCCCGGCUCAACUGGGAGGGUGCGCCGAAUACUGAAUGGACUAGAGUGCGGGAGAGGAAAGUGGAAUUCCUGGUGUAGCGGUGAAAUGCGUAGAUAUCAGGAGGAACACCGGUGGGUGUAGACGGCUUUCUGGACCGUAACUGACGCUGAGACACGAAAGCGUGGGUAGCAAACAGGAUUAGAUACCCUGGUAGUCCACGCCCUAAACGAUGCAUAUUUGGUGUGGGCAGUUCAUUCUGUCCGUGCCGGAGCUAACGCGUUAAAUAUGCCGCCUGGGGAGUACAGUCGCAAGGCUGAAACUC